CAGUUCGGAUUGUAGUCUGCAACUCGACUACAUGAAGCNGGAAUCGCUAGUAAUCGCGAAUCAGAAUGUCGCGGUGAAUACGUUCCCGGGUCUUGUACACACCGCCCGUCACACCAUGGGAGUCAGUAACGCCCGAAGUCAGUGACCCAACCGAACAGGGAGGGGAGCUGCCGAAGGUGGGGACCGAUAACUGGGGUGAAGUCGUAACAAGGUACC
Molecule: ribosomal RNA, 216 nt
Filed under: uncultured bacterium
Lineage: Bacteria
Description: partial 16S ribosomal RNA
Rfam family: Bacterial small subunit ribosomal RNA
Source: RNAcentral